GCCAUUUUGUCCAGUGAGGAAAAGCGGAGCGGGAGUCUCAUUGCGGGUCGAGCCGGCUGCGAAAUUAGCGCGGGCUCCCUUCGCCCGCACUCCCUCUUAGCAGCGCAAUGCAUCGUGACUCUUGUCCGCUGGACUGCAAGGUUUAUGUGGGUAACCUUGGCAACAAUGGCAACAAAACGGAGUUAGAGCGAGCUUUUGGCUACUAUGGACCACUGCGCAGCGUCUGGGUGGCAAGAAAUCCUCCUGGCUUUGCCUUUGUGGAAUUUGAAGAUCCACGCGAUGCAGCUGAUGCUGUGAGAGAACUAGAUGGAAGAACCCUCUGUGGGUGUCGAGUCAGAGUGGAGCUCUCCAAUGGUGAAAAGCGGAGUCGGAACCGUGGUCCCCCUCCGUCCUGGGGCAGGCGCCCUCGAGAUGACUAUCGCAGGAGAAGUCCUCCUCCUCGCCGCAGGUACCCUGGGGUCAGAGUACCCUCAUAGAGCAGUUGGCACUGUUACCACUUAGCAUCAUAGAAGCAGGCUUUGUAAAGCAUGUUGAUGGAUAACAUUCAUCUAUCUGAUCACAAUUUGGAGAUGCCAAAUGCUAAAAAACCAAAAUGGAGGUGAACAUAAGUUGUGUUGAAUGUUGGCUUUUGUCCUUAGGUCACUGUGCAAGUUGGUAGUCAGCGCCCUCUGUCCUGGAUUUAUCCUCUUUCCUCCCCAAAUCCGCUCAUCUUCUAGCCACACUUUCCCGUUCUUCCCCAUACUUCAACUUAGGCUGUUCCUUUCCUUUAUUCCAUAAUGGCAAAACAUUACAUACGGCAACUUAGCUUUUUCAUACAGAAGUAUUUCUCCUCUUUAUUUGCACAAUUUAAAUACUCCAAGUAGGCAGCUGUUGCAAUAAUAAAUCAAGUAACAGUUGCUCUAAACAUCCAAAACCUAAGAACUCUAGCAUCAAUUUUAAAUGAAAUCAUCACGUGACAAUCCUGUCGCUUGAGAUUUGCAAACCCAGGUCUAAAAUAGAGCAGGAUUUUUGGUAACUGGCACAUUCUUGGACCCAGACUAGGUUGUCUGGCUGUUAACUGCAGCAUGGCUCUUGCAGGACUGAGUUGACCUGUUGCAGGUGAGUGAAGUCCUCACAAGUCAGGGUCUCGAGCUUACCCUUUUGCUGUUGAAAAAAUAACACAGUAGGAGUAAUUGUUAGCUAAUAGAUGGUUGUACUGAUGGCUUGUUUUUCAUUUUUUUUAUGCUUUUUGGUCCAUCUAUUAAUAAAAAUGAACCCGUUACAGAGUCACCAUCAUGUCUCUUCUCACCACCCUCUGAGUCUGCAUUAGCCAGUCAACUAGCCCUUUCAGCGUCAUGUGACCAGCGCGCCCCAUGCAGCUUGGCUGGUGUCGUUUCACAUGACCCAGGCAUGGCCAGUCGUCAGGUUGCACCGCCCUUUGGUUCCCGAGCAUGCUGUUUUCUCUCAGCCUUCUCUCCAACCUUAACCAAAUCGGCAGCAGCCACCUCGACCGCCCACACAUUCCCGGCCAAUCAGCUCAGCUGUUUAUUUACCAAAUGUCUUCACAACAACUACAGCAGCAGCCUUCGGCUAACAAAAAAGCAGGAAAAAUCCACAACACCCCCUUCGCCAACCAACUAAAUACAACGCAACAUCUGGCAAAACCUUUUCAGCAAAUUCUUCUUGGCAGUCAGUCCGGCAGCCUCACCUCACCAUUUCUAGCUUGUUGAAACCAAAAACUAAUCACCACGAAGGAGAAGCUUUUCGCGUAGCCGCAGCAGGUCCCUCUCCAGAGACAGAAGAAGAGAGAGAUCGCUCUCACGGGAGAGGAACCACAAGCCUUCUCGCUCCUUCUCCAGGUCUCGCAGUCGCUCCAGGUCAAAUGAGAGGAAAUAGGACUUUCAGAAGGAGCUGUGUACAGGAAGUCAUUAGAUCUGAGGACAGGAGGAGUAUGUACAGAACAUUGUUUUGUUUUGAAACUUCAUAAAGCUUGGCGCAUUUUUAAAAUGUUUUAGCUGUUGAACUUGCUUUGUUCCUUGUAUCUUGUAACAGGUGACAAAUGUAAAGAUGUGAAUCUGUAUAUGGUUCUAAGCAGAUCAUAUGAUUUGUAAUAUUAAUUACUUUUCAAUGUACCCUUAUACAUAGUUUUUGUUUGUGUGUUGAAUGGUAAUCAGUUUGUCUUGCAUAGAUAGAAGAAUGUUUCUGGUCCUAUUCUGGAGUGUCUUUUGUUGGAGUUCAGCUUUUGGAAGGAAGUUUGCAAUGAAGGUAGUAGUUAAUUGCAAGAAUAUGGCCAUAAAUAAUGUUCAGUCUAUGCAGAACAAGAAGUAGAUGUUUCAUAGUGCAGUUCUC
This is a non-coding RNA of Tinamus guttatus (white-throated tinamou), 2328 nucleotides long. Lineage: Eukaryota; Metazoa; Chordata; Aves; Tinamiformes; Tinamidae. The record is from RefSeq and is a predicted model, not a curated record.